GGGAAAAUCUUGAUCUUGAUUUAUCCUUCAGGAUUCGCAUAUUAUAUUUUUUUCGUAUUUUUAGUGCAAAGCAGUAGUAUUUUUAUAAAUUGUAAUCUUAGAAUAUUUUUYGAUAAGGUUUUUACGCUGUACGUACUCUCGUAGUCUGUAAUCCAGACUGCCCGGUGGUUGAAGCUGCUGAAUUUUUAUGACGCUGGAAACGAUUGCUUAUAAAUGUAUUACUCUUUUUGUCACGCAAKGACACAUCGUAUUUUCAAAAUAAAAUGAUUCACUGAAACUAACAUUGUAGUUUAUGAAGUCGAAGUCAAAUUAGAARAAAACAAGAUCCGUGCAGAAUCCAUUUCAGUCUAGAGGUUACUCCGUAGUUUUUUUYCUCUCUGUAAGGUCGCCGCGAAGCAACGACAACGAGCUGCGAAGCUAGCCGCGAGCCACGAGAAACAGUCGCUAACAAAUCUGAGGUCCACAUUCUUCAAUCAAACUGGAGUUUAGAAGUUGGUUAGUACGGAGGGAGAGAAACCUAAGAACCCAGAGAAAACCCUGCAAGAACAGAACGAACAGUAAACUAGAAGCAAUGCACGAGAUGAU
Molecule: long non-coding RNA, 585 nt
Organism: Actinia tenebrosa (Australian red waratah sea anemone)
Lineage: Eukaryota; Metazoa; Cnidaria; Anthozoa; Actiniaria; Actiniidae
Source: RefSeq, a predicted model, not a curated record